UUUUAAGUGUCUUACAUUUUUAAAACUAAGGUUUUUUUCAACAUGGUAGAAUGACCUAUUAAUUAUCUUCUGUUUUGAGGUAAACAGGGAGAGAUGAGAAGACCUGAUAAAUCUCUUUUCCCUGUCUGCUAGCCAGAAGGAAGUAAUGCUUAAAUCUAUUAGAGAGGCCUGGGCUGUGAUUUACCGGAUAAUCUUCACUGCUGAUCUCUGUAUUCCUGGUCUUGUCCAGAAUAAAACAUGGUGGAGACUCAAUCCUAGAAAAGCCAUCUUAGAUGAGACUCACUAAAACAGAGGGACAUGAGUAGGAUAUAAAAUAAGACCAGAAAAUUUAGGUCAUAGGAUUCUCUCUGGGUCAUCCACUAACCUGCAUUACAACCACUGGCACAGAGAAGAAUAGAGGGGAGAAAAUUUGAUAGAAUGAAACACGGGCAGGAGGAUCACUAAAUUUCAUUGCCUUGCUGGGGAAUGCUGAAAUAACUGAGCAAGUGGAAUGGUCUGAUUCAAUUUGACAAUGUUUUAUAGACCUAUUCUUGGGCACAGAAAGAUUCAGAGAUCUGUGAAUCAGGAGAUUCAAAUUAAAUUCUAUCCUUUCCAUAUCCAGAAGAAAAGCGACUGAUCAAACUUGGUUUGGGCAUAGCAUUUGGAAGAGAAAAAGGAGGAGACCUAGAUAAAGGGAAGAAAUAAUGGGGUGGAUGAAUUGCACAAGAGAACAACUUAAAGCCAAAGAAAGGAAUUUAAUGCUUAUUUUUGGCAUAAUUUGGGACCUCUUCGAGAUAUUUCACUUUAAUAAGCUGUGGCAAUAUACAAAGUAAUUAAUAUAAAUGAUAAAUGCAAAAAUUAACAUAAUGUAGAAUGAAAAGAGUAGAACAAACAAUAAUAUAUGGACUUAUCAAGCUUUAAUUAUUAAAGUAUCAUUGAAAAAUCACUGUAAUAAUUGCAUGUUCCAGUAAUUGCUAUAAUCAUUGCACAAUACUGUAAGAAAUGUUAUUGUGUGCUACAGCUAGUUC
Molecule: long non-coding RNA, 1007 nt
Filed under: Monodelphis domestica (gray short-tailed opossum)
Lineage: Eukaryota; Metazoa; Chordata; Mammalia; Didelphimorphia; Didelphidae
Description: lncRNA (ENSMODG00000032217.2)
Source: RNAcentral